RNAcentral lists this ribosomal RNA (654 nucleotides) under uncultured Massilia sp. RNAcentral describes it as "bacterial SSU rRNA". It matches the Rfam family "Bacterial small subunit ribosomal RNA", at positions 812 to 1467 of the family's 1533-position model. Lineage: Bacteria; Pseudomonadati; Pseudomonadota; Betaproteobacteria; Burkholderiales; Oxalobacteraceae. The record is from RNAcentral.
UCUACUAGUUGUCGGGUUUUAAUUAACUUGGUAACGCAGCUAACGCGUGAAGUAGACCGCCUGGGGAGUACGGUCGCAAGAUUAAAACUCAAAGGAAUUGACGGGGACCCGCACAAGCGGUGGAUGAUGUGGAUUAAUUCGAUGCAACGCGAAAAACCUUACCUACCCUUGACAUGUACGGAAGGCCGAAGAGAUUUGGCUGUGCUCGAAAGAGAACCGUAACACAGGUGCUGCAUGGCUGUCGUCAGCUCGUGUCGUGAGAUGUUGGGUUAAGUCCCGCAACGAGCGCAACCCUUGUCAUUAGUUGCUACAUUUAGUUGAGCACUCUAAUGAGACUGCCGGUGACAAACCGGAGGAAGGUGGGGAUGACGUCAAGUCCUCAUGGCCCUUAUGGGUAGGGCUUCACACGUCAUACAAUGGUACAUACAGAGGGCCGCCAACCCGCGAGGGGGAGCUAAUCCCAGAAAGUGUAUCGUAGUCCGGAUCGCAGUCUGCAACUCGACUGCGUGAAGUUGGAAUCGCUAGUAAUCGCGGAUCAGCAUGUCGCGGUGAAUACGUUCCCGGGUCUUGUACACACCGCCCGUCACACCAUGGGAGCGGGUUUUACCAGAAGUAGGUAGCUUAACCGCAAGGAGGGCGCUUACCACGGUAGGA